AUUGAACGCUGGCGGCAUGCUUUACACAUGCAAGUCGAACGGUAACAGGCCUUCGGGUGCUGACGAGUGGCGAACGGGUGAGUAAUGCAUCGGAACGUACCCAGAGGUGGGGGAUAACGCAGCGAAAGCUGUGCUAAUACCGCAUGUGAUCUGAGGAUGAAAGCGGGGGACCGAGCAGCAAUGUUUGGCCUCGCGCCUUUGGAGCGGCCGAUGUCGGAUUAGCUAGUUGGUGGGGUAAAGGCCUACCAAGGCGACGAUCCGUAGCUGGUCUGAGAGGACGACCAGCCACACUGGGACUGAGACACGGCCCAGACCCCUACGGGAGGCAGCAGUGGGGAAUUUUGGACAAUGGGCGCAAGCCUGAUCCAGCAAGGCCGCGUGCGGGAAGAAGGCCUUCGGGUUGUAAACCGCUUUUGGCAGGAACGAAACGGUGUCCGCUAAUACCGGGCGCUAAUGACGGUACCUGCAGAAUAAGCACCGGCUAACUACGUG
RNAcentral lists this ribosomal RNA (492 nucleotides) under uncultured bacterium. Its description in RNAcentral is "partial 16S ribosomal RNA". It matches the Rfam family "Bacterial small subunit ribosomal RNA", at positions 29 to 507 of the family's 1533-position model. The record is from RNAcentral.